GACGAACGCUGGCGGCGUGCUUAACACAUGCAAGUCGAACGGAAAGGCCCGGCUUUUGUGGGGUUCUCGAGUGGCGAACGGGUGAGUAACACGUGAGUAACCUGCCCUGUACUUGGUGAUAACUGGAGGAAACUGGGGCUAAUACCGGAGAGGAGCGCCUGCUGCAUGGGGGGGGUUGGAAAGUUUCGGCGGUGGGGGAUGGACGCGCGGCUUAUCAGCUUGUGGGUGGGGUAGUGGCUUACCAAGGCUUUGACGGGUAGCCGGCCUGAGAGGGUGACCGGCCACAUUGGGACUGAGAUACGGCCCAGACUCCUACGGGAGGCAGCAGUGGGGAAUAUUGCACAAUGGGCGGACGCCUGAUGCAGCAACGCCGCGUGCGGGAUGCCGGCCUUCGGGUUGUAAACCGCUUUCGCCUGUGACGAAGCGUGAGUGACGGUAAUGGGUAAAGAAGCACCGGCUAACUACGUG
RNAcentral lists this ribosomal RNA (468 nucleotides) under uncultured bacterium. RNAcentral's name for it is "partial 16S ribosomal RNA". It matches the Rfam family "Bacterial small subunit ribosomal RNA", at positions 28 to 507 of the family's 1533-position model. The record is from RNAcentral.